GAGAAAAUCAGUGAAAGAAUGAAAUUCCUUCAAGAUCUUGUUCCUGGUUGCAACAAGGUGACCGGGAAAGCAGUAAUGCUUGAUGAGAUUAUAAACUAUGUGCAGUCAUUGCAGCGGCAGGGUGAGUUUCUAUCAAUGAAGUUGGCAACUGUUAAUCCAAGAAUGGAUAUUAGCAUGGAAGCUCUUCUGUCCAAGGAUAUUUUUCAAUCUCGCGGAUCUCUGUCACAAAAUCUUUAUCCAUUGGAGACCUCAGCAGCACUAUCAUUCCCUUAUGGUUACCGGUCCCAGCAAGGGAUAGCCUUGCCUAAUGGCAUGUUUAGUAAUGGAGAAACUCAAUUCUCAACGAACCCUUUAAAUGCUGUUUUGAAGCGAAACCAAUGUAUGCAGUUGCCUGCACUUGAUGGAUUUGGAGAUGCAC
Molecule: unclassified non-coding RNA, 418 nt
Filed under: Hevea brasiliensis (rubber tree)
Lineage: Eukaryota; Viridiplantae; Streptophyta; Magnoliopsida; Malpighiales; Euphorbiaceae
Source: RNAcentral